GUUUUAUUAAUUAGUUUUGGUCUUGGGAACACUGUGUAAAUCAGUGACUGUGCCGCAACGGUGAUUUGACAAGUUUACUCUGAGCGAGUGAAACGAGUCGAAGAGUCCGAUACCAGCCAAAGCGUGUUUACCCCGA
RNAcentral lists this non-coding RNA (136 nucleotides) under Candidatus Roizmanbacteria bacterium. The record is from RNAcentral. Lineage: Bacteria; Candidatus Roizmaniibacteriota.